GUGGUGGGUAGUUUGACUGGGGUGGUCGCCUCCAAAAGAGUAACGGAGGCUCCUAAAGGUACCCUCAACACGGUUGGUAAUCGUGUGUAGAGUGUAAUGGCAUAAGGGUGCUUGACUGAGAGACCGACAAGUCGACCAGGUAGGAAACUAGAGCAUAGUGAUCCGGUGGUUCCGCAUGGAAGGGCCAUCGCUCAAAGGAUAAAAGGUACUCUGGGG
Molecule: ribosomal RNA, 216 nt
Filed under: uncultured Micromonas
Lineage: Eukaryota; Viridiplantae; Chlorophyta; Mamiellophyceae; Mamiellales
Description: partial Bacterial large subunit ribosomal RNA
Rfam family: Bacterial large subunit ribosomal RNA
Source: RNAcentral